GUCACCUACGGGGCGCAGCAGUGAGGAAUAUUGGUCAAUGGGCGCGAGCCUGAACCAGCCAAGUAGCGUGAAGGAUGACUGCCCUACGGGUUGUAAACUUCUUUUAUAAAGGAAUAAAGUGGGGCACGUGUGCCUUUUUGUACGUACUUUAUGAAUAAGGAUCGGCUAACUCCGUGCCAGCAGCCGCGGUAAUACGGAGGAUCCGAGCGUUAUCCGGAUUUAUUGGGUUUAAAGGGUGCGUAGGCGGACGCUUAAGUCAGCGGUAAAAUUGCGGGGCUCAACCUCGUCGAGCCGUUGAAACUGGG
Molecule: ribosomal RNA, 305 nt
Filed under: uncultured bacterium
Lineage: Bacteria
Description: bacterial SSU rRNA
Rfam family: Bacterial small subunit ribosomal RNA
Source: RNAcentral